GAUGAACGCUGGCGGCGUGCCUAAUACAUGCAAGUCGAGCGAACGGACGAGAAGCUUGCUUCUCUGAUGUUAGCGGCGGACGGGUGAGUAACACGUGGAUAACCUACCUAUAAGACUGGGAUAACUUCGGGAAACCGGAGCUAAUACCGGAUAAUAUUUUGAACCGCAUGGUUCAAAAGUGAAAGACGGUCUUGCUGUCACUUAUAGAUGGAUCCGCGCUGCAUUAGCUAGUUGGUAAGGUAACGGCUUACCAAGGCAACGAUGCAUAGCCGACCUGAGAGGGCGAUCGGCCACACUGGAACUGAGACACGGUCCAGACUCCUACGGGAGGCAGCAGUAGGGAAUCUUCCGCAACGGGCGAAAGCCUGACGGAGCAACGCCGCGUGAGUGAUGAAGGUCUUCGGAUCGUAAAACUCUGUUAUUAGGGAAGAACAUAUGUGUAAGUAACUGUGCACAUCUUGACGGUACCUAAUCAGAAAGCCACGGCUAACUACGUG
Molecule: ribosomal RNA, 497 nt
Filed under: uncultured bacterium
Lineage: Bacteria
Description: partial 16S ribosomal RNA
Rfam family: Bacterial small subunit ribosomal RNA
Source: RNAcentral